CCUACGGGCGGCAGCAGUGGGGGAUAUUGCACAAUGGGGGGAACCCUGAUGCAGCGACGCCGCGUGGGUGAAGAAGCGCCUCGGCGCGUAAAGCCCUGUCAGCAGGGAAGAAAAUGACGGUACCUGAAGAAGAAGCCCCGGCUGACUCCGUGCCAGCAGCCGCGGUAAUACGGAGGGGGCAAGCGUGAUCCGGAUUUACUGGGUGUAAGGGGGGCGCAGACGGCGAUGCAAGCCAGGAGUGAAAGCCCGGGGCCCAACGCCGGGACUGCUUUUGGAACUGCGGGGCUGGAGUGCAGGAGGGGCAGGCGGAAUUCCUGGUGUAGCGGUGAAAUGCGUAGAUAUCAGGAGGAACACCGGUGGCGAAGGCGGCCUGCUGGACUGCAACUGACGUUGAGGCCCGAAAGCGUGGGGAGCAAACAGGAUUAGAUACCCCUGUAGUC
This 440-nucleotide ribosomal RNA is filed under the name uncultured bacterium. Its description in RNAcentral is "partial 16S ribosomal RNA". It matches the Rfam family "Bacterial small subunit ribosomal RNA", at positions 338 to 795 of the family's 1533-position model. The record is from RNAcentral.